RNAcentral lists this ribosomal RNA (492 nucleotides) under uncultured bacterium. RNAcentral describes it as "partial 16S ribosomal RNA". It matches the Rfam family "Bacterial small subunit ribosomal RNA", at positions 29 to 507 of the family's 1533-position model. The record is from RNAcentral.
AGUGAACGCUGGCGGUAGGCCUAACACAUGCAAGUCGAACGGCAGCACAGUAAGAGCUUGCUCUUACGGGUGGCGAGUGGCGGACGGGUGAGGAAUACAUCGGAAACUACUUUUUCGUGGGGGAUAACGUAGGGAAACUUACGCUAAUACCGCAUACGACCUACGGGUGAAAGCAGGGGAUCUUCGGACCUUGCGCGAUUGAAUGAGCCGAUGUCGGGUUAGCUAGUUGGCAGGGUAAAGGCCCACCAAGGCAACGAUCCGUAGCUGGUCUGAGAGGAUGAUCAGCCACACUGGAACUGAGACACGGUCCAGACUCCUACGGGAGGCAGCAGUGGGGAAUAUUGGGCAAUGGGCGAAAGCCUGAUCCAGCCAUACCGCGUGGGUGAAGAAGGCCUUCGGGUUGUAAAGCCCUUUUGUUGGGAAAGAAAAGCAGCAGAUGAAUCCCCCGCUGUUCUGACGGUACCCAAAGAAUAAGCACCGGCUAACUUCGUG